ACGGAGGAUGCAAGCGUUAUCCGGAAUCAUUGGGUUUAAAGGGUCCGUAGGCGGUUUAAUAAGUCAGUGGUGAAAGCCCAUCGCUCAACGGUGGAACGGCCAUUGAUACUGUUAAACUUGAAUGAUUAGGAAGUAACUAGAAUAUGUAGUGUAGCGGUGAAAUGCUUAGAUAUUACAUGGAAUACCAAUUGCGAAGGCAGGUUACUACCAAUUUAUUGACGCUGAUGGACGAAAGCGUGGGGAGCGAACAGGAUUAGAUACCCUGGUAGUCCACGCCGUAAACGAUGGAUACUAGCUGUUGGGAGCAAUCUCAGUGGCUAAGCGAAAGUGAUAAGUAUCCCACCUGGGGAGUACGUUCGCAAGAAU
This 366-nucleotide ribosomal RNA is filed under the name uncultured bacterium. RNAcentral's name for it is "bacterial SSU rRNA". It matches the Rfam family "Bacterial small subunit ribosomal RNA", at positions 525 to 895 of the family's 1533-position model. The record is from RNAcentral.